RNAcentral lists this ribosomal RNA (469 nucleotides) under uncultured bacterium. Its description in RNAcentral is "bacterial SSU rRNA". It matches the Rfam family "Bacterial small subunit ribosomal RNA", at positions 61 to 521 of the family's 1533-position model. The record is from RNAcentral.
GUCGAGGGGCAGCGGGGUAGUGCUUGCACUACUGCCGGCGACCGGCGCACGGGUGAGUAACACGUAUGGAACCUGCCCGCAGCAGGGGGAUAAGCGGAAGAAAUUCCGUCUAAUACCGCGUAACAACGUUGGGAGGCAUCUCCCGAUGUUUAAAGAUUUAUCGGCUGCGGAUGGCCAUGCGGCGCAUUAGCUAGUCGGCGGGGUAACGGCCCACCGAGGCGACGAUGCGUAGGGGUUCUGAGAGGAAGGUCCCCCACACUGGUACUGAGACACGGACCAGACUCCUACGGGAGGCAGCAGUGAGGAAUAUUGGUCAAUGGCCGAGAGGCUGAACCAGCCAAGUCGCGUGAGGGAAGACGGCCCUACGGGUUGUAAACCUCUUUUGUCGGGGAGCAGAGCGAACCACGUGUGGUUCAUUGAGAGUACCCGAAGAAAAAGCAUCGGCUAACUCCGUGCCAGCAGCCGCGGU